CCUGUUUAACAAAAACAUGUCUUUGUGAGUUAUUUUUAAAGUCUGACCUGCCCACUGAAGUUUAUUWAAAUGGCCGCAGUAUUCUAACUGUGCAAAGGUAGCAUAAUCAUUAGUCUUUUAAUGAAGGCUGGUAUGAACGGUUGGACGAGGUAUAAGCUGUUUCAUAUAAAUUUAUAAUAGAAUUUUAUAUUUUAGUCAAAAAGCUAAAAUAUAGUUAAAAGACGAGAAGACCCUAUAAAUCUUUAUAUUUUAUGUUAUUUAGAUUUUUUAGAUUAAUUUUAUUUUUAUAAUUUAAAAUAUUUUGUGGGGUGAUGUUAAAAUUUAAUAAACUUUUAAUUAUUUAAAAUCAUUAAUUUAUGAAUUAUUGAUCCAUUAGUAGUGAUUAUAAGAUUAAGUUACUUUAGGGAUAACAGCGUAAUUUUUUUGGAGAGUUCAUAUCGAUAAAAAAGUUUGCGACCUCGAUGUUGGAUUAAGAUAUAUUUUUAGGUGUAGCCGCUUAAAU
This 502-nucleotide ribosomal RNA is filed under the name Bactrocera endiandrae. Its description in RNAcentral is "partial large subunit ribosomal RNA". Lineage: Eukaryota; Metazoa; Arthropoda; Insecta; Diptera; Tephritidae. The record is from RNAcentral.